This 493-nucleotide ribosomal RNA is filed under the name uncultured bacterium. RNAcentral's name for it is "partial 16S ribosomal RNA". It matches the Rfam family "Bacterial small subunit ribosomal RNA", at positions 29 to 507 of the family's 1533-position model. The record is from RNAcentral.
ACGCACGCUGGCGGCGUGCUUCACACCUGCCAGUCGAACGGUGAAGCGCCUUCCUUUUUGGUGGGUGUGGAUGAGUGGCGAACGGGUGAGUAACACGUGAGUAACCUGCCCCCUUCUUCUGGAUAACCGCAUGAAAGUGUGGCUAAUACGGGAUAUUCUGGGUCUGUCGCAUGAUGGGUCUGGGAAAGAUAUUGUUUCGGUGGGGGAUGGGCUCGCGGCCUAUCAGCUUGUUGGUGGGGUGAUGGCCUACCAAGGCGGUGACGGGUAGCCGGCCUGAGAGGGUGGACGGUCACACUGGGACUGAGACACGGCCCAGACUCCGACGGGAGGCAGCAGUGGGGAAUAUUGCACAAUGGGCGCAAGCCUGAUGCAGCGACGCCGCGUGAGGGAUGGAGGCCUUCGGGUUGUGAACCUCUUUCGCCAGUGAAGCAGGCCUGCCUCGUUUGUGGGUGGGUUGACGGUAGCUGGAUAAGAAGCGCCGGCUAACUACGUG